Molecule: ribosomal RNA, 421 nt
Filed under: uncultured bacterium
Lineage: Bacteria
Description: bacterial SSU rRNA
Rfam family: Bacterial small subunit ribosomal RNA
Source: RNAcentral
AAGGAAUAUUGGACAAUGGGCGGAAGCCUGAUCCAGCCAUGCCGCGUGAAGGAUGAAGGCGCUCAGCGUUGUAAACUUCUUUUGGAUGGGGACAAUAAUCUCGAUUUAUCGGGACUUGAGGGUACCAUCAGAAUAAGCACCGGCUAACUCCGUGCCAGCAGCCGCGGUAAUACGGAGGGUGCAAGCGUUAUCCGGAAUCACUGGGUUUAAAGGGUGCGUAGGCUGUUAGAUAAGUCAGUUGUGAAAUUCCCCGGCUUAACCGGGCGAACUGCGAUUGAUACUGUUUAACUUGAAUGAGGUUGAGGUAGGCGGAAUGUGGCAUGUAGCGGUGAAAUGCUUAGAUAUGCCAUAGAACACCGAUUGCGAAGGCAGCUUGCUGGGCCUUCAUUGACGCUGAGGCACGAAAGCGUGGGGAGCAAAC